This 496-nucleotide ribosomal RNA is filed under the name uncultured bacterium. Its description in RNAcentral is "partial 16S ribosomal RNA". It matches the Rfam family "Bacterial small subunit ribosomal RNA", at positions 28 to 506 of the family's 1533-position model. The record is from RNAcentral.
GAUGAACGCUGGCGGCGUGCCUAAUACAUGCAAGUCGAGCGAACGGACGAGAAGCUUGCUUCUCUGAUGUUAGCGGCGGACGGGUGAGUAACACGUGGAUAACCUACCUAUAAGACUGGGAUAACUUCGGGAAACCGGAGCUAAUACCGGAUAAUAUUUUGAACCGCAUGGUUCAAAAGUGAAAGACGGUCUUGCUGUCACUUAUAGAUGGAUCCGCGCUGCAUUAGCUAGUUGGUAAGGUAACGGCUUACCAAGGCAACGAUGCAUAGCCGACCUGAGAGGGUGAUCGGCCACACUGGAACUGAGACACGGUCCAGACUCCUACGGGAGACAGCAGUAGGUAAUCUUCCGCAAUGGGCUAAAUCCUUACGGAGCAACGCCGCGUGAGUGAUGAAGUGCUUCGGAUCGUAAAACUCUGUUAUUAGGGAAGAACAUAUGUGUAAGUAACUGUGCACAUCUUGAAGGUACCUAAUCAGAAAGCCACGGCUAACUACGU